UACAGAGGGUGCGAGCGUUAAUCGGAAUUACUGGGCGUAAAGCGUUCGUAGGUGGAUCAUUAAGUCAGUCGUAAAAUACCCGGGCUCAACCUGGGGAGGUCGAUUGAAACUGGUGAUUUAGAGUAUGGGAGAGGGUAGAGGAAUUUCUGGUGUAGCGGUGAAAUGCGUAGAUAUCAGAAGGAACAUCAGUGGCGAAGGCGUCUACCUGGCCCGAUACUGACACUGAGGAACGAAAGCGUGGGUAGCAAACAGG
This 253-nucleotide ribosomal RNA is filed under the name uncultured bacterium. RNAcentral describes it as "partial 16S ribosomal RNA". It matches the Rfam family "Bacterial small subunit ribosomal RNA", at positions 524 to 776 of the family's 1533-position model. The record is from RNAcentral.